RNAcentral lists this ribosomal RNA (430 nucleotides) under Bacillota bacterium. RNAcentral's name for it is "Firmicutes bacterium partial 16S ribosomal RNA". It matches the Rfam family "Bacterial small subunit ribosomal RNA", at positions 355 to 776 of the family's 1533-position model. The record is from RNAcentral. Lineage: Bacteria; Bacillati; Bacillota.
UGGGGAAUAUUGGACAAUGGGCGCAAGCCUGAUCCAGCCAUGCCGCGUGUGUGAAGAAGGCCUUUUGGUUGUAAAGCACUUUAAGCGAGGAGGAGGCUACUUGGAUUAAUACGCUAGGAUAGUGGACGUUACUCGCAGAAUAAGCACCGGCUAACUCUGUGCCAGCAGCCGCGGUAAUACAGAGGGUGCGAGCGUUAAUCGGAUUUACUGGGCGUAAAGCGUGCGUAGGCGGCUUCUUAAGUCGGAUGUGAAAUCCCUGAGCUUAACUUAGGAAUUGCAUUCGAUACUGGGAAGCUAGAGUAUGGGAGAGGAUGGUAGAAUUCCAGGUGUAGCGGUGAAAUGCGUAGAGAUCUGGAGGAAUACCGAUGGCGAAGGCAGCCAUCUGGCCUAAUACUGACGCUGAGGUACGAAAGCAUGGGGAGCAAACAGG